CCAUCAGAGGAGCAGCGUCCCAGGAGACCCAGCUUUCAUUCUCUUGUCUGUCUUUUCGAAGCCUUUCACCGCCCCCACUCAGGGUCACUGAACCAGGCUGAGCUGGCGUGGCACAUAAGGCGCCCUGGGGCUGAGUAUGCCAUGGCCGUGCGGGCUGGACACAAAAGACCUCCUAUUCUGGGUAAAGCUUCUUGGCCCGUAUCACCUGAGCGACUAUAAAAUAAAAGGCAUCUCUGCCUCCCAUCAUGACCAGUUCCACUGAAAAUAUCCUUUCUCCUACUCUUUACCACAGCAUCUGUCUUCCACAUCGUAUGUUUAAUUUUAAAAAAUAAAUGGAUGUUACACUCUU
Myotis myotis is the source of this 349-nucleotide long non-coding RNA. RefSeq lists it as uncharacterized. Lineage: Eukaryota; Metazoa; Chordata; Mammalia; Chiroptera; Vespertilionidae. The record is from RefSeq and is a predicted model, not a curated record. The transcript has 2 exons.